RNAcentral lists this ribosomal RNA (480 nucleotides) under uncultured bacterium. RNAcentral's name for it is "bacterial SSU rRNA". It matches the Rfam family "Bacterial small subunit ribosomal RNA", at positions 30 to 504 of the family's 1533-position model. The record is from RNAcentral.
UGAACGCUGGCGGUAUGCUUAACACAUGCAAGUCGAACGCGAACGAGUUCUUCGGAACUUUAUUAGAGUGGCGGACGGGUGAGUAACGCGUAGGAAUCUGCCUGGUAGUGGGGGACAACCUGGUGAAAACCAGGCUAAUACCGCAUACGCCCUACGGGGGAAAGCAGGGGAUCUUCGGACCUUGCGCUAUCAGAUGGGCCUGCGUCGGAUUAGCUAGUUGGUGAGGUAAUGGCUCACCAAGGCGACGAUCCGUAGCUGGUUUGAGAGAAUGAUCAGCCACACUGGGACUGAGACACGGCCCAGACUCCUACGGGAGGCAGCAGUGGGGAAUAUUGGACAAUGGGGGCAACCCUGAUCCAGCAAUACCGCGUGUGUGAAGAAGGCCUGAGGGUUGUAAAGCACUUUCAAUUGUGAAGAAAAGCUUAAGGUUAAUAACCUUGAGUCUUGACGUUAACUUUAGAAGAAGCACCGGCUAACUCC